GACGGAAGGUGCAAGCGUUGCUCGGAAUCACUGGGCGUAAAGGGUGCGUAGGCGGCCGCGCAAGUCUGGCGUGAAAGCCCCGGGCUCAGCCCGGGAAGGGCGUUCGAAACGGCGCGGCUCGAGUGCCGGAGGGGAGAGUGGAAUUCCUGGUGUAGCGGUGAAAUGCGUAGAUAUCAGGAGGAAUACCGGUGGCGAAAGCGACUCUCUGGACGGCAACUGACGCUGAGGCACGAAAGCGUGGGGAGCAAACAGG
RNAcentral lists this ribosomal RNA (253 nucleotides) under uncultured bacterium. Its description in RNAcentral is "partial 16S ribosomal RNA". It matches the Rfam family "Bacterial small subunit ribosomal RNA", at positions 524 to 776 of the family's 1533-position model. The record is from RNAcentral.